This 71-nucleotide transfer RNA is filed under the name Marmota monax (woodchuck). RNAcentral's name for it is "tRNA.Ala". The stretch from base 6 to 66 matches the Rfam family "tRNA", at positions 6 to 65 of the family's 71-position model. Rfam says of the family: Transfer RNA (tRNA) molecules are approximately 80 nucleotides in length. Their secondary structure includes four short double-helical elements and three loops (D, anti-codon, and T loops). Further hydrogen bonds mediate the characteristic L-shaped molecular structure. tRNAs have two regions of fundamental functional importance: the anti-codon, which is responsible for specific mRNA codon recognition, and the 3' end, to which the tRNAs corresponding amino acid is attached (by aminoacyl-tRNA synthetases). tRNAs cope with the degeneracy of the genetic code in two manners: having more than one tRNA (with a specific anti-codon) for a particular amino acid; and 'wobble' base-pairing, i.e. permitting non-standard base-pairing at the 3rd anti-codon position. Lineage: Eukaryota; Metazoa; Chordata; Mammalia; Rodentia; Sciuridae. The record is from RNAcentral.
GGGGUUGUGGCUCAGAGGUAGAGCACUUGCCUAGCAUGCAUGAGGCACUGGGUUCAAUCCUCAGCACUACA